CAAAUGACUCUCGGCAAUGGAUAUCUCGGCUCUUGCAUCGAUGAAGAACGUAGUGAAAUGCGAUACUUGGUGUGAAUUGCAGAAUCUCGUGAACCAUUGAGUCUUUGAACGCAAGUUGUGCCCGAGGCCUUGCGGCCGAGGGCACGCCUGCUUGGGUGUCAUGG
This 164-nucleotide ribosomal RNA is filed under the name Zingiber oligophyllum. Its description in RNAcentral is "5.8S ribosomal RNA". It matches the Rfam family "5.8S ribosomal RNA". From Rfam's summary of the family: 5.8S ribosomal RNA (5.8S rRNA) is a component of the large subunit of the eukaryotic ribosome. The record is from RNAcentral. Lineage: Eukaryota; Viridiplantae; Streptophyta; Magnoliopsida; Zingiberales; Zingiberaceae.